CGAUGCUUCAUUCAAAUAUCUGCCCUAUCAACUUUCGAUGGUAGGAUAGAGGCUACCAUGGUUUCAACGGGUAACGGGGAAUAAGGGUUCGAUUCCGGAGAGGGAGCCUGAGAAACGGCUACCACAUCCAAGGAAGGCAGCAGGCGCGCAAUUACCCAAUCCCGACACGGGGAGGUAGUGACAAUAAAUAACAAUAUAGGGCUCUUUCGGGUCUUAUAAUUGGAAUGAGUACAAUUUAAAUCUCUUAACGAGGAACAAUUGGAGGGCAAGUCUGGUGCCAGCAGCCGCGGUAAUUCCAGCUCCAAUAGCGUAUAUUAAAGUUGUUGCAGUUAAAAAGCUCGUAGUUGAACCUCAGACCUGGUCGAGUGGUCCGCCUAACGGUGUGUACUGCUUGACUGGGCCUUACCUCUUGGUGAGCCGGCGUGCCCUUUAUUGGUGGUGCGUCGGGGAACCAGGACUUUUACCUUGAGGAAAAUUAGAGUGUUCAAAGCAGGCCUAUGCCCGAAUACAUUAGCAUGGAAUAAUAGA
Molecule: ribosomal RNA, 528 nt
Filed under: uncultured fungus
Lineage: Eukaryota; Fungi
Description: SSU rRNA
Rfam family: Eukaryotic small subunit ribosomal RNA
Source: RNAcentral